Molecule: small nuclear RNA, 106 nt
Organism: Arvicola amphibius (Eurasian water vole)
Lineage: Eukaryota; Metazoa; Chordata; Mammalia; Rodentia; Cricetidae
Source: RefSeq, a predicted model, not a curated record
UUGCUCACUUUGGCAGCAUAUAUAUUAAAACUGGAAGGGUACAGAGAAGAUUAGCAUGGCUCUACACAAGGAUGAAACACAAACUUGUGAAGCAUCCAUAAAAAUA